GGGGCAACCAUAAUAGCUCAGUGGUAGAGCACCUGCCUUGCAAGCAGAAGUUUGCAGGUUCAUUUUCUGGUAUCUCCA
Podarcis lilfordi (Lilford's wall lizard) is the source of this 78-nucleotide non-coding RNA. The record is from the annotation of a GenBank genome assembly. NCBI's taxonomy places the organism in Eukaryota, Metazoa, Chordata, Lepidosauria, Squamata, Lacertidae.